UAACAACCAAAGGACAUUGGAACGGUAAAUGCUAAUACUCAAAUAAAUCAAGUGACACAACAACCAAGAUAAUCUCUUUAUCUCCCUCCUUCAUUCUUCUUCCUCCCAACCGUGAACUCCCUAAACUAUUUUCUAUUCUCUCUUUGAAUUAACAAACGAAAUUUCUACCCUCCUACACUCACCUCAAACCAAUGAAUUAAAACGAUAGCAAUAAAAACUACCCCUACGCCGCCGAUUCAAUC
Molecule: long non-coding RNA, 242 nt
Filed under: Lathyrus oleraceus (garden pea)
Lineage: Eukaryota; Viridiplantae; Streptophyta; Magnoliopsida; Fabales; Fabaceae
Description: Pisum sativum (pea) long non-coding RNA (PSAT_LNC029624)
Source: RNAcentral